Carassius carassius (crucian carp) is the source of this 852-nucleotide long non-coding RNA. RefSeq lists it as uncharacterized. The record is from RefSeq and is a predicted model, not a curated record. The transcript is spliced from 2 exons. Lineage: Eukaryota; Metazoa; Chordata; Actinopteri; Cypriniformes; Cyprinidae.
CCUUCCUUGUCACGUGACUCUGUGUUGACGGAAAUGCUUCAGGAAUGGCGAGAAACGAAUAGAAGCAGUUUGGAAAACUGAAUCGACUGUCGCUCCAGAAAGAGAGACAGUCGCUGUUAUCUCACUACCCAGACAGGAAGAUAGAUGAUUUCCGUCAGCAUCAUGAUGAACUGGAGACCCAAUAAAAAUGUUUCCUAAAGAAACUAUGCUCCCUGUACCCUACCUGCAAAUGCAAGCCUUGGAAAACUCGAGCAUUUGCCAAGAGGAGGCAGGAUUCAGUCCGCAAUCAAAACACCUGUCAGUUUAUGCUAUUAUAGUCCCAGUCUUUGUUUGACAAUGCCAAAAUUGUAUAUUUAAAGGAGUAGUUCACUCAAAAAUGAACAUUUGUUGAAAAUUUACUCACUCUUAGGCCAUCCAAAAUGUAGAUGAGUUUGUUUCUUCAACAGAUUUUGAGAAAUUUAGCAUUACAUCAGUUGCUCACCAAUGGAUACACCGCAGUGAAUGGGUGUCGUCAGAAUGAGAGUCCAAACAGCUGAUAUAAACAGUAAUCCACAAGUAGUCCAGUCCAUCGGUUUACACCUUGUGAAGUGAAAAGCUGCGUGUUUGUAAGAAAGAAAUCCAUCACUAAGGCGUUUUAACUUUAACCUCUUGCUUCUAGCUAAAAUGUGAGUCCAUAAUCCAUAAUAACACUUCUUCCAGUGAAAAGGUCCAUCCCCUGUUGUCCUCUCAUCCCAAAAUCGUCCUUCAAAUUUCUUUAGAACUACAGCUGGGCGAUAACGAUAAUUAUCGAAAUAUAAAUUUCCUUGAUAAAACGAUAACAGUAUUUCGUUAAAUGUUUGAUAUAAUGUUUAU